Molecule: non-coding RNA, 71 nt
Organism: Anaeramoeba flamelloides
Lineage: Eukaryota; Anaeramoebidae
Source: the annotation of a GenBank genome assembly
GAAUAGGUAGCUCAAUGGUAGAGUGGUAAACUGCAGAUUUAUUGGUGGGGGUUCGAGUCCCUCCCUAUUCA